This is a long non-coding RNA of Odocoileus virginianus texanus, 921 nucleotides long. RefSeq lists it as uncharacterized. The record is from RefSeq and is a predicted model, not a curated record. NCBI's taxonomy places the organism in Eukaryota, Metazoa, Chordata, Mammalia, Artiodactyla, Cervidae.
GGGAACCCUCUUGACUCCCGUGACCCUUCUCAGAGAUUUUCCUCUUCAUCGGUUGAUCUGAUUCCAGAACAAGCAGCAGGCCAGCCAUGCGGUGCUGCCAGGGCAGCGGUGAGAGAGCCCGGACAACUGCCUCCGGGAGCUUCAGGGUUAAUGUUCGUGCGUCAAAGUUACGUGGAGAGAAGGGGCCCCAGCGCGGAUGGGGUGGUGGUGGUGAGUCCAGACCUCCUGUGACCACUGUGACCUGAGAACUGAACUAGGGAAGUUGCAAGACGGCGGGGGAGACAGGCGCGCCCCCAGGGAAGGUGAGGGAGGAGCCGCGUGACUGACAGCGAGCCUGCGCUGAGUUCUGCAUCCUAACGCAGCCGGGGACGGCCAGGACGGACUGAGGCUGGUCUGCCUUCCUUGGGUCUGUGAAGCCACAGGCUGUUUACUAACCUCCUUUUCCACCCCCGCACUGGCUCUCCUAAUCCUCACAACAACCGAACAGCUUCUGUCACGGUUCAGCAAGCCUUCAGUUAUAUCAGCUCUAGUCUGGGUGCGGCUGAGGUGGCUUUGGUCCUGUGAGUGGAAUGCCUACAAGCGGAUGGACAAAUAGACUGGCCUAUAAAAAUUAUGAUGGUGAAAAUUUCACUGAAGAAUUCAGCCCACAUCACCAUGUUUACAAACAGAGAUGCCCCAGACUGAGGACUGGGUGACCAAGCAUUUGUCCCCAGAGCAUUUUUUUUUCUUUUUUUUUCUAUCUAAGCAAGCUGGGAUUAAUCAAAAUCUCAAGGAUCUUCCUGUUCUGCUCUGUGAAAUUGGGCUAACAGUGUCAGUCUACCCCAUGAGUCUGGCGGGGUCAAAUAACAUGAAACGAUGUGUGUGGAAUAUGAAAAGUAAUGCUGUGUCUAUUUUCGGUUGAAAUGAUGUGUCCGACGCCAG